RNAcentral lists this ribosomal RNA (527 nucleotides) under uncultured bacterium. RNAcentral describes it as "bacterial SSU rRNA". It matches the Rfam family "Bacterial small subunit ribosomal RNA", at positions 779 to 1304 of the family's 1533-position model. The record is from RNAcentral.
AUGAUACCCGGGUAGUCCACGCCGUAAACGAUGAGUGCUAAGUGUUAGAGGGUUUCCGCCCUUUAGUGCUGCAGCUAACGCAUUAAGCACUCCGCCUGGGGAGUACGGUCGCAAGACUGAAACUCAAAGGAAUUGACGGGGGCCCGCACAAGCGGUGGAGCAUGUGGUUUAAUUCGAAGCAACGCGAAGAACCUUACCAGGUCUUGACAUCCCACUGACCGGUAUAGAGAUAUACCUUUCCCUUCGGGGACAGUGGUGACAGGUGGUGCAUGGUUGUCGUCAGCUCGUGUCGUGAGAUGUUGGGUUAAGUCCCGCAACGAGCGCAACCCUUGAUCUUAGUUGCCAGCAUUUAGUUGGGCACUCUAAGGUGACUGCCGGUGACAAACCGGAGGAAGGUGGGGAUGACGUCAAAUCAUCAUGCCCCUUAUGACCUGGGCUACACACGUGCUACAAUGGAUGGUACAAAGGGCUGCAAGACUGCGAAGUCAAGCCAAUCCCAUAAAACCAUUCUCAGUUCGGAUUGCAGG